UUCCUACGGGAGGCAGCAGUGAGGAAUAUUGGUCAAUGGGCGGGAGCCUGAACCAGCCAAGCCGCGUGAGGGAAGAAGGUACAGCGUAUCGUAAACCUCUUUUGUCAGGGAACAAAGGCGGGGACUAGUCCCCGGAUGAGGGUACCUGAAGAAAAAGCAUCGGCUAACUCCGUGCCAGCAGCCGCGGUAAUACGUAGGUGACAAGCGUUGUCCGGAUUUACUGGGUGUAAGGGCGCGUAGGCGGGAUAGCAAGUCAGUCGUGAAAUGCCGAGGCUUAACCUCGGAGCUGCGAUUGAAACUGUUAU
RNAcentral lists this ribosomal RNA (305 nucleotides) under uncultured bacterium. Its description in RNAcentral is "bacterial SSU rRNA". It matches the Rfam family "Bacterial small subunit ribosomal RNA", at positions 336 to 639 of the family's 1533-position model. The record is from RNAcentral.